AGCAGCCGCGGUAAUUCCAGCUCCAAUAGCGUAUAUUAAAGUUGUUGCAGUUAAAAAGCUCGUAGUUGAAUUUCGGGGUCGGUAGGUUGGUCGUGCCACUGGUAUGUACUGGCCUUACCGAUUCCUCCUUCUUGUAGAACUUGUGAUGCCAUUAAUUUGGUGUUGCAGGGAAACAGGACUGUUACUUUGAAAAAAUUAGAGUGUUUAAAGCAGGCU
Molecule: ribosomal RNA, 216 nt
Filed under: uncultured Glomus
Lineage: Eukaryota; Fungi; Glomeromycota; Glomeromycetes; Glomerales; Glomeraceae
Description: partial small subunit ribosomal RNA
Rfam family: Eukaryotic small subunit ribosomal RNA
Source: RNAcentral